This 1240-nucleotide ribosomal RNA is filed under the name metagenome. RNAcentral's name for it is "bacterial SSU rRNA". It matches the Rfam family "Bacterial small subunit ribosomal RNA", at positions 248 to 1498 of the family's 1533-position model. The record is from RNAcentral.
GUUGGCGGGGUAACGGCCCACCAAGGCAACGAUCAGUAGGGGUUCUGAGAGGAAGGUCCCCCACAUUGGAACUGAGACACGGUCCAAACUCCUACGGGAGGCAGCAGUGAGGAAUAUUGGUCAAUGGACGAGAGUCUGAACCAGCCAAGUAGCGUGCAGGAAGACGGCCCUAUGGGUUGUAAACUGCUUUUAUAAGGGAAUAAAGUGAGAGUCGUGACUCUUUUUGCAUGUACCUUAUGAAUAAGGACCGGCUAAUUCCGUGCCAGCAGCCGCGGUAAUACGGAAGGUCCGGGCGUUAUCCGGAUUUAUUGGGUUUAAAGGGAGCGUAGGCCGGAGAUUAAGCGUGUUGUGAAAUGUAGACGCUCAACGUCUGCACUGCAGCGCGAACUGGUUUCCUUGAGUACGCACAAAGUGGGCGGAAUUCGUGGUGUAGCGGUGAAAUGCUUAGAUAUCACGAAGAACUCCGAUUGCGAAGGCUGCUCACUGGAGCGCAACUGACGCUGAAGCUCGAAAGUGCGGGUAUCGAACAGGAUUAGAUACCCUGGUAGUCCGCACGGUAAACGAUGGAUGCCCGCUGUUGGUCUGAAUAGGUCAGCGGCCAAGCGAAAGCAUUAAGCAUCCCACCUGGGGAGUACGCCGGCAACGGUGAAACUCAAAGGAAUUGACGGGGGCCCGCACAAGCGGAGGAACAUGUGGUUUAAUUCGAUGAUACGCGAGGAACCUUACCCGGGCUUGAAUUGCAGAGGAAGGAUUUGGAGACAAUGACGCCCUUCGGGGCCUCUGUGAAGGUGCUGCAUGGUUGUCGUCAGCUCGUGCCGUGAGGUGUCGGCUUAAGUGCCAUAACGAGCGCAACCCCUCUCCUUAGUUGCCAUCAGGUUAAGCUGGGCACUCUGGGGACACUGCCACCGUAAGGUGUGAGGAAGGUGGGGAUGACGUCAAAUCAGCACGGCCCUUACGUCCGGGGCUACACACGUGUUACAAUGGCAGGUACAGAGAGACGGUCCCUUGCAAAACGGAUCAAAUCCUUAAAGCCUGUCUCAGUUCGGACUGGGGUCUGCAACCCGACCCCACGAAGCUGGAUUCGCUAGUAAUCGCGCAUCAGCCAUGGCGCGGUGAAUACGUUCCCGGGCCUUGUACACACCGCCCGUCAAGCCAUGAAAGCCGGGGGCGCCUAAAGUCCGUGACCGUAAGGAGCGGCCUAGGGCGAAACUGGUAAUUGGGGCUAAGUCGUAACAAGGUA